Molecule: small nuclear RNA, 18 nt
Filed under: Arabidopsis thaliana (thale cress)
Lineage: Eukaryota; Viridiplantae; Streptophyta; Magnoliopsida; Brassicales; Brassicaceae
Description: snRNA_17845
Source: RNAcentral
AGGAGGAUCCAAUGCCGA